Molecule: ribosomal RNA, 592 nt
Filed under: uncultured bacterium
Lineage: Bacteria
Description: bacterial SSU rRNA
Rfam family: Bacterial small subunit ribosomal RNA
Source: RNAcentral
UCGGGUGCUAGUGGCGGACGGGUGAGUAACGCGUGGGAAUAUGCCCCUCGGUUCGGAAUAGCCUCGGGAAACUGGGAGUAAUACCGGAUACGGUCUACGGACGAAAGAUUUAUCGCCGAGGGAUUAGCCCGCGUUGGAUUAGGUAGUUGGUGGGGUAAUGGCCUACCAAGCCGACGAUCCAUAGCUGGUUUGAGAGGAUGAUCAGCCACACUGGGACUGAGACACGGCCCAGACUCCUACGGGAGGCAGCAGUGGGGAAUCUUAGACAAUGGGCGCAAGCCUGAUCUAGCCAUGCCGCGUGAUCGAUGAAGGCCUUAGGGUUGUAAAGAUCUUUCAGUGGGGAAGAUAAUGACGGUACCCACAGAAUAAGCACCGGCUAACUACGUGCCAGCAGCCGCGGUAAUACGUAGGGUGCAAGCGUUAAUCGGAAUUACUGGGCGUAAAGCGUGCGCAGGCGGUUAUGCAAGACAGAUGUGAAAUCCCCGGGCUCAACCUGGGAACUGCAUUUGUGACUGCAUGGCUAGAGUACGGUAGAGGGGGAUGGAAUUCCGCGUGUAGCAGUGAAAUGCGUAGAUAUGCGGAGGAACACCGA